AUAAAAAACCAAUGCCCUUUUGGGCUCCUUGGUGAUUCAUAAUAACUUAACGAAUCGCAUGGCCUUGCGCCGGCGAUGGUUCAUUCAAAUUUCUGCCCUAUCAACUUUCGAUUGUAAGAUAGAGGCUUACAAUGGUCUUAACGGGUAACGGGGAAUUAGGGUUCUAUUCCGGAGAGGGAGCCUGAGAAACGGCUACCACAUCCAAGGAAGGCAGCAGGCGCGCAAAUUACCCAAUCCCGAUACGGGGAGGUAGUGACAAUAAAUACUGAUACGGGGCUCUUUCGGGUCUCGUAAUUGGAAUGAGUACAAUCUAAAUCCCUUAACGAGGAACAAUUGGAGGGCAAGUCUGGUGCCAGCAGCCGCGGUAAUUCCAGCUCCAAUAGCGUAUAUUAAAGUUGUUGCCGUUAAAAAGCUCGUAGUUGAACCUUGGACCUGGCUGAUCUGUCCUCCUAAUCGAGCGCACGGAUUCGGUCGGGUCUUUCCUUCUGGGGAGCCCCAUGCCCUUCACUGGGUGUGGC
RNAcentral lists this ribosomal RNA (518 nucleotides) under uncultured fungus. RNAcentral's name for it is "SSU rRNA". It matches the Rfam family "Eukaryotic small subunit ribosomal RNA", at positions 214 to 732 of the family's 1831-position model. Lineage: Eukaryota; Fungi. The record is from RNAcentral.